This 820-nucleotide ribosomal RNA is filed under the name uncultured bacterium. RNAcentral's name for it is "bacterial SSU rRNA". It matches the Rfam family "Bacterial small subunit ribosomal RNA", at positions 70 to 896 of the family's 1533-position model. The record is from RNAcentral. RNAcentral also lists the same sequence under 1 other name.
AAAAGGGGAGCAAUCCUCUGAGUAAAGCGGCGCACGGGUGAGUAACACGUGGGUAAUCUGCCCUGAAGUGGGGAAUAACACCGGGAAACCGGUGCUAAUACCGCAUAUGAUCACGGUGUCUGCGGACACAGGGAUGAAAGGAGCAAUUCGCUUCAGGAGGAGCCCGCGGCUGAUUAGCUAGUUGGUGAGGUAAUGGCUCACCAAGGCUACGAUCAGUAUCCGGUCUGAGAGGACGGUCGGACACACUGGAACUGAGACACGGUCCAGACUCCUACGGGAGGCAGCAGUGGGGAAUUUUUCGCAAUGGGGGCAACCCUGACGAAGCAACGCCGCGUGGAUGAUGAAGUAUCUCGGUACGUAAAAUCCUUUCGACAGGGAAGAAACCGCAAGGUUGACGGUACCUGUAGAAGAAGCCCCGGCUAACUCCGUGCCAGCAGCCGCGGUAAUACGGGGGGGGCUAGCGUUGUUCGGAAUUACUGGGCGUAAAGGGCGCGUAGGCGGUCUGCUAAGUUGGAUGUGAAAACUCUGGGCUUAACCCAGAGCCUGCAUUCAAAACUGACAGGCUAGAGUUCUGGAGGGGAUAGCGGAAUUCCUGGUGUAGCGGUGAAAUGCGUAGAUAUCAGGAGGAACACCGGUGGCGAAGGCGGCUAUCUGGACAGAAACUGACGCUGAGGCGCGAAAGCUAGGGGAGCAAACAGGAUUAGAUACCCUGGUAGUCCUAGCCCUAAACGAUGGAUACUUGGUGUGACUGGGAUUGAAUCCAGUCGUGCCGAAGCUAACGCAUUAAGUAUCCCGCCUGGGGAGUACGGUCGCAAGGCUG